CAGCACCUCAAGUGGUCAGGAUGAUUAUUGGGCCUAAAGCAUCCGUAGCCUGCUUUGUUAGUUUUCGGUUAAAUCCAUACGCUCAACGUAUGGGCUGCCGGGAAUACUGCAAAGCUAGGGAGUGGGAGAGGUAGACGGUACUCGGUAGGAAGGGGUAAAGUCCUUUGAUCUAUUGAUGACCACCUGUGGCGAAGGCGGUCUACCAGAACACGUCCGACGGUGAGGGAUGAAAGCUGGGGGAGCAAACCGGAUUAGAUACCCGAGUAGUCC
Molecule: ribosomal RNA, 270 nt
Filed under: uncultured archaeon
Lineage: Archaea
Description: partial 16S ribosomal RNA
Rfam family: Archaeal small subunit ribosomal RNA
Source: RNAcentral